This 257-nucleotide long non-coding RNA is filed under the name Dermacentor andersoni. RNAcentral describes it as "uncharacterized LOC126517754". Lineage: Eukaryota; Metazoa; Arthropoda; Arachnida; Ixodida; Ixodidae. The record is from RNAcentral.
GUUGGAAGCUACGACACUUACGGCACCGCAACCUCGCCCUGGCAAAUGGCGACGUCCUAGGAUGAGCACUGCUGAUCGAGCUACCGAGUGUCGGAGGAGCGCCCCAGCCUGCAGAAAGCGAAAUGCGCAUGUCAUGGUGGUGCUGCUGCGUCAAGUUUUGCCAGCAAAUGACCUUCUGCAAGUGUCGCUGACAGAAUGUUCAUCUUGUUUUUUUAUCUAUAUUGCAAUAAAUAGCUUUUGAGCAAGAUCUUUAUUUU